This 422-nucleotide ribosomal RNA is filed under the name uncultured bacterium. RNAcentral's name for it is "bacterial SSU rRNA". It matches the Rfam family "Bacterial small subunit ribosomal RNA", at positions 358 to 773 of the family's 1533-position model. The record is from RNAcentral.
AGAAUUUUUCUCAAUGGGGGAAACCCUGAAGGAGCGACGCCGCGUGGAGGAUGAAGGGCUUCGGCUCGUAAACUCCUGUCACCAGGGAACAAUUGUUGCAACCUAACACGUUGUAAUUUGAUGGUACCUGGAGAGGAAGGCACGGCUAACUCUGUGCCAGCAGCCGCGGUAAUACAGAGGUGCCAAGCGUUGUUCGGAUUUACUGGGCGUAAAGGGUGCGUAGGUGGUUUGGUAAGUCAAAUGUGAAAUCCUGCAGCUUAACUGCAGAACUGCAUUCGAAACUGCCAGGCUAGAGUACUGGAGAGGAGAUCGGAAUUCUCGGUGUAGCAGUGAAAUGCGUAGAUAUCGAGAGGAACACCAGUGGCGAAAGCGGAUCUCUGGACAGUUACUGACACUGAUGCACGAAAGCUAGGGGAGCAAAC